This 274-nucleotide ribosomal RNA is filed under the name uncultured bacterium. RNAcentral describes it as "partial 16S ribosomal RNA". It matches the Rfam family "Bacterial small subunit ribosomal RNA", at positions 523 to 796 of the family's 1533-position model. The record is from RNAcentral.
CUACGGAGGGGGUUAGCGUUGUUCGGAAUUACUGGGCGUAAAGCGCACGUAGGCGGAUUGGAAAGUAGGGGGUGAAAUCCCAGGGCUCAACCCUGGAACUGCCUCCUAAACUAUCAGUCUAGAGUUCGAGAGAGGUGAGUGGAAUUCCAAGUGUAGAGGUGAAAUUCGUAGAUAUUUGGAGGAACACCAGUGGCGAAGGCGGCUCACUGGCUCGAUACUGACGCUGAGGUGCGAAAGCAUGGGGAGCAAACAGGAUUAGAAACCCUAGUAGUCC